GCGAACGGGUGAGUAACACGUGGGUGAUCUGCCCUGCACUCUGGGAUAAGCCUGGGAAACUGGGUCUAAUACCGGAUAUGACCUUGGACUGCAUGGUUCUUGGUGGAAAGGUUUACUGGUGCAGGAUGGGCCCGCGGCCUAUCAGCUUGUUGGUGGGGUAAUGGCCUACCAAGGCGACGACGGGUAGCCGGCCUGAGAGGGCGACCGGCCACACUGGGACUGAGACACGGCCCAGACUCCUACGGGAGGCAGCAGUGGGGAAUAUUGCACAAUGGGCGAAAGCCUGAUGCAGCGACGCCGCGUGAGGGAUGAAGGCCUUCGGGUUGUAAACCUCUUUCAGCAGGGACGAAGCGAGAGUGACGGUACCUGCAGAAGAAGCACCGGCUAACUACGUGCCAGCAGCCGCGGUAAUACGUAGGGUGCGAGCGUUGUCCGGAAUUACUGGGCGUAAAGAGUUCGUAGGCGGUUUGUCACGUCGUUUGUGAAAACUCACAGCUCAACUGUGAGCCUGCAGGCGAUACGGGCAGACUUGAGUACUGCAGGGGAGACUGGAAUUCCUGGUGUAGCGGUGAAAUGCGCAGAUAUCAGGAGGAACACCGGUGGCGAAGGCGGGUCUCUGGGCAGUAACUGACGCUGAGGAACGAAAGCGUGGGUAGCAAACAGGAUUAGAUACCCUGGUAGUCCACGCCGUAAACGGUGGGCGCUAGGUGUGGGUUCCUUCCACGGGAUCUGUGCCGUAGCUAACGCAUUAA
Molecule: ribosomal RNA, 752 nt
Filed under: Rhodococcus sp. (in: high G+C Gram-positive bacteria)
Lineage: Bacteria; Bacillati; Actinomycetota; Actinomycetes; Mycobacteriales; Nocardiaceae
Description: bacterial SSU rRNA
Rfam family: Bacterial small subunit ribosomal RNA
Source: RNAcentral